Molecule: transfer RNA, 65 nt
Filed under: Panonychus ulmi (European red spider mite)
Lineage: Eukaryota; Metazoa; Arthropoda; Arachnida; Trombidiformes; Tetranychidae
Description: tRNA-Lys
Source: RNAcentral
CGUUAAAAGAAAUAUUUUCUGUAAAUAACUUAAGAGGUUACUGCUUCUACUCAGCCAUUUAACGA